UACGAAGGGUGCAAACGUUGCUCGGAAUCAUUGGGCGUAAAGCGCACGUAGGCGGCCUCGCAAGUCUGAUGUGAAAUCCCUCGGCUCAACCGAGGACGUGCAUCGGAAACUGCGGGGCUUGAGUACUGAAGAGGAUCGCGGAAUUCCCGGUGUAGAGGUGAAAUUCGUAGAUAUCGGGAGGAACACCAGUGGCGAAGGCGGCCUUCUGGACGGUGACUGACGCUGAGACGCGAAAGCGUGGGGAGCAAACAGG
Molecule: ribosomal RNA, 253 nt
Filed under: uncultured bacterium
Lineage: Bacteria
Description: partial 16S ribosomal RNA
Rfam family: Bacterial small subunit ribosomal RNA
Source: RNAcentral